GAUGAACGCUGGCGGCGUGCCUAAUACAUGCAAGUCGAGCGAACAGACGCGGAGCUUGCUCCUCUGACGUUAGCGGCGGACGGGUGAGAAACACGAGGAUAACGUCCCUAUCAGACUGGGAAAACUUCGGGAAACCGGAGCUAAUACCGUAUAAUCUCUUGAACCGCAUGGUGCAAUGGUGAGAGACGGUGUUGCUGUCUGUUCUAGCUGGUUACGCGCCGCAUUGGCUAGUUGGUACGGUAAAGGGUUACCAAGGCGACUAUGCGUAGCCGACGUGUGUGGGUGAUCGGCCACACUGGAACUUAGACACCGUCCAGACUCCUACGGGAGGCACCAGUAGGGUAUCUUCCGCAAUAGUCGGAAGCCUUGCGGAGCAGCGCCGCGUGAGUGACGAAGGUCUCCGGAUCGUAAAGCUCUGUUACUAGUUAAGAACAAAUGUCGAAGUAACUAUGCCCUUCGUGACGGUACCGAAUCAGAAAGCCCCGGCUAACUACGUG
RNAcentral lists this ribosomal RNA (497 nucleotides) under uncultured bacterium. RNAcentral's name for it is "partial 16S ribosomal RNA". It matches the Rfam family "Bacterial small subunit ribosomal RNA", at positions 28 to 507 of the family's 1533-position model. The record is from RNAcentral.